AACGAACGCUGGCGGCAUGCCUAACACAUGCAAGUCGAACGAUUGCCUUCGGGUGAUAGUGGCGCACGGGUGCGUAACGCGUGGGAAUCUGCCCUUAGGUUCGGAAUAACAGCUGGAAACGGCUGCUAAUACCGGAUGAUAUCGCGAGAUCAAAGAUUUAUCGCCUGAGGAUGAGCCCGCGUUGGAUUAGGUAGUUGGUGGGGUAAAGGCCUACCAAGCCGACGAUCCGUAGCUGGUCUGAGAGGAUGAUCAGCCACACUGGGACUGAGACACGGCCCAGACUCCUACGGGAGGCAGCAGUGGGGAAUAUUGGGCAAUGGGCGCAAGCCUGAUCCAGCAAUGCCGCGUGAGUGAUGAAGGCCCUAGGGUUGUAAAGCUCUUUUACCCGGGAAGAUAAUGACUGUACCGGGAGAAUAAGCCCCGGCUAACUCCGUG
This 435-nucleotide ribosomal RNA is filed under the name uncultured bacterium. Its description in RNAcentral is "partial 16S ribosomal RNA". It matches the Rfam family "Bacterial small subunit ribosomal RNA", at positions 29 to 507 of the family's 1533-position model. The record is from RNAcentral.